GGCAUGGAAAUCCACAGGAGGUCUGAGCUUGGAUCUCUGGGAUCCAGUCCUCUGGGUGGGCUGCUUACCUCGGGGGUGACCCACUGUCCUGGUUUGCCUGGGACUAAAGGGGUUCCUGAGACAUGGGACUUCCAGUUUUAGAACUGGGACAGUGCCAAGAAACUGGGGAUGUGUUGAUCGCUCUGUUUACCUCUCUGAACCUCAAUUUGCUCAUAUCUAAAACCAGGAUAGUUACUAUCUGUCGGAGGACGAAAUGGGAUAAUGCAGGGAAGCAUCUAGCACAUGGCUCUUCAACCUGUAAAAUGGGAGGGUAGUGCCUACUUCACCAUAGCCGUGGGGAGAAGCCCGUGAAAACACCUCUCAUCUGAGCCUGGGGCUUGUUCUUUCUUUGUUGAAGAGGAAUACAGAGGUGUCAAGGACAGAUGAGAACAAGACUGAGACUUUCUACUUGUUGAAAUCUGCGAGAAAAAAUGGGAAAGGAAUGAAUGAGAGGUUAUCUCUUAAUGUAAGUCAAUGUUUAUUCAAUGCUUUGCCUUGUACAGCCUCAAAUCAUCUUGGGAUCCACGGUGGGAGGCAGCACUGAUGUGAUGUCAUCCAGUGCCUAGAGAUGAGCCUGGCUCUAUUACUGGAGACCGCUGGUGGCUGCAUGGUGCCCUGAGUUAUAACCAAGAUUGCUGAAUAUCUGGGGAGAAAAUUUCUGUCUCUGAUCAGCCUCGGGGGCAUGAGUCAACCUCUGCUAAGUGUUUUGAGCUUGCCUACUGACAAGUUGAUGGCCAAUGCAGAGAAUUAUUAUUCUUAAGAAGAUUGUAAUCACAACUAUGAUGAAUCCAGGUUGAUGAGACAUUAAUGCCUGAAAGCUUUGGAGUAUUUUUGAAAAGCAUCGCUAAAAUAAUAAUUGAAAUCGCAACAAGGGGGAAUCAAGAACAUAAAAGCUGACUGAGAUAACCUCGCAACCCCGCCUGCCUUUUCUAGACACCAGCUUGCUGGGGGGCUUCAUGAGGCUUGUGAAGAAGACAGGACAAAAGAGUCAGGCUGUUGGGAAUUUUAAGGUCCCAAGUGACAUGAUGCCUUCUGAUGUUCCGGGCCUCAGUGGCCUCAUCUGAGAAAUGGGAAUGAUAAUAGCAUAUGUGCAUGGACCAGAUGAGCUCUUCUGGUCCUGUUCCAAUU
Molecule: long non-coding RNA, 1167 nt
Filed under: Homo sapiens (human)
Lineage: Eukaryota; Metazoa; Chordata; Mammalia; Primates; Hominidae
Description: HSALNT0290554
Source: RNAcentral